CCCACCGCUCUCCACCAGACCACGCUGAAUCAUAUGCCGGGAUGAUGCACCGCCACCCUCUCCUCACGCGGACGCGUUGGCCUGGAUGCCGCUGCUGCCCCAGUUCGCCCGCCCCUGCAACCUUUGUCUCCUGAAGCUAAGCGUGCCUGCAGGAGCAAGGGUUGGGAGAUUUGACGAAAAAUGAUAUAGUACAUGGCUAGACUGUCUAGGACUCCAACUAUACAUACAUGUAACUUCUACCUGAUGUUGAUGCCGGAGAUGGACCUUGGUUAUGAGGUCACUCAUAUAACACUCAAUACUGAUGGUCCAUCACUACUCCUAGCUGGAUCACAUAACAUAAAUGUUUUGUAUGUACAUGAGAGGGUAUCUGAAGAUGGUGAUACAAUCAUAUGCAGCACGCCGAGGAUUGGUAUCUCCAGGAUCUAUUAACCAGUUUGGAUAUGUAAUACAAAUGAGGAAAAUGAGGUUGUAUUAGGCGUAUGAACUGUAUUCUUUGGUACGAAACCUGAAUUUUCGUUUUGCAUCUUGUGCGUGCGGUCGUGGUCUGGACCUGGCGAUGCAGUGUUGUCGCGGCAGAGAGGCGUGGAGGAUUGGAGGCUCGCGUGGUGGCCGACGGCUGUGUCUGCGGACGAUGUCCAGGAUGCCGAGGAUUGGAGGGUGUCGGGGUGGACGAUCUCCUGCAGGAUGGCUGCUUGCGUCGACGAUGUCCAGCAGGAUGCAGAGGAUUGGAGGGUGUCGGGGCUGGCGUGGUAGACGAUUUCCGGCAGGACGGCAGGGUGUGGCGUAUGAGAAUCUGGGGCAGGGCGUGGGAGGAUGGCCUGCUGUAGGCUGUUUGAGGCUGUUUGAGGUAGGAGAUAUGCGGAAGUUAUUUUUCCCCUUAAUUUGUGGCUGAAUUUUAGAGAUACGGGUGGGAGAUUUGAUCUCACGGGGUGGGGAGAUGGAACAAAUCUGGAUUGUUAGAUUAAUAUGCACGGAUGGCUGAGAUGUAUUUUUCCAACGGCACUUCGUGCCUUUAUAAGUAGUAGAGAUUGGUAUCUCCAGGAUCUAUUAACCAGUUUGGAUAUGUAAUACAAAUGAGGAAAAUGAGGUUGUAUUAGGCGUA
This is an RNA transcript of Lolium rigidum, 1102 nucleotides long. It is a transcript of the gene named nuclear pore complex protein NUP88-like, with no coding region annotated. The transcript is spliced from 4 exons. The record is from RefSeq and is a predicted model, not a curated record. NCBI's taxonomy places the organism in Eukaryota, Viridiplantae, Streptophyta, Magnoliopsida, Poales, Poaceae.